AUGUCAUCAUGUGCAUUGCAUUUGCAUACAUGUUCGUCUCAGGCAUCCGAGCAUUUUCCCCGUUGUCCGUUUUGCAAUCCGGCACUCCCACCUCCUCCGGCGCACCCCCUUGUUUUCUUUUUGCGAGCGGGUGUUGAACGCUCUCGGAAUGGACCGAGUCUUGUCAAGUGGCCUUGGUAUACCACCGGGAGACCACCGGUCAAGUUUCGUUCCAUUCGGAGGUCGUUUGGUACUCCAACGGUUAACCGGGUAACCGCAAAGUCUUUUUGUGUGUUGCAGCAAAACCCCCUCAAAACAAGCCCAAAACUCCUCUAA
This 315-nucleotide ribosomal RNA is filed under the name Triticum aestivum (bread wheat). RNAcentral's name for it is "partial small subunit ribosomal RNA". Lineage: Eukaryota; Viridiplantae; Streptophyta; Magnoliopsida; Poales; Poaceae. The record is from RNAcentral.